RNAcentral lists this transfer RNA (106 nucleotides) under Dentipellis sp. KUC8613. Its description in RNAcentral is "tRNA-Pro". It matches the Rfam family "tRNA". Rfam says of the family: Transfer RNA (tRNA) molecules are approximately 80 nucleotides in length. Their secondary structure includes four short double-helical elements and three loops (D, anti-codon, and T loops). Lineage: Eukaryota; Fungi; Basidiomycota; Agaricomycetes; Russulales; Hericiaceae. The record is from RNAcentral.
GGCUCAAUGGUCUAGUAGUAUGAUACUCGCUUCGGGUGCAAGCCCAUUACGUGUAAAUCGCGUAAUUCGGUGUGAGUGGUCUCGGGUUCAAUUCCCGAUUGAGCCC